This 512-nucleotide ribosomal RNA is filed under the name uncultured bacterium. RNAcentral describes it as "partial 16S ribosomal RNA". It matches the Rfam family "Bacterial small subunit ribosomal RNA", at positions 28 to 507 of the family's 1533-position model. The record is from RNAcentral.
GAUGAACGCUGGCGGCGUGCCUAAUACAUGCAAGUCGAACGAAACUUCUUUAUCACCGAGUGCUUGCACUCACCGAUAAAGAGUUGAGUGGCGAACGGGUGAGUAACACGUGGGCAACCUGCCCAAAAGAGGGGGAUAACACUUGGAAACAGGUGCUAAUACCGCAUAACCAUAGUUACCGCAUGGUAACUAUGUAAAAGGUGGCUAUACUACCGCUUUUGGAUGGGCCCGCGGCGCAUUAGCUAGUUGGUAGGGUAAAGGCUUACCAAGGCAAUGAUGCGUAGCCGAAUUGAGAGGUUGAUCGGCCACAUUGGGACUGAGACACGGCCCAAACUCCUACGGGAGGCAGCAGUAGGGAAUCUUCCACAAUGGGCGAAAGCCUGAUGGAGCAACGCCGCGUGGGUGAAGAAGGUCUUCGGAUCGUAAAACCCUGUUGUUAGAGAAGAAAGCGCGUGAGAGUAACUGUUCACGUUUCGACGGUAUCUAACCAGAAAGCCACGGCUAACUACGUG